AGUGUAGGCGGUUUAGCAAGUCGGAUGUGAAAUCCCAGGGCCCAACCCUGGAACUGCAUCCGAUACUGUUAGGCUAGAGUCCCGGAGAGGAUGGCGGAAUUCCCGGUGUAGGGUUGAAAUCCGUAGAUAUCGGGAGGAACACCAGUGGCGAAGGCGGCCAUCUGGACGGUGACUGACGCUGAGACUCGAAAGCGUGGGUAGCAAACAGGAUUAGAUACCCUGGUAGUCC
This 229-nucleotide ribosomal RNA is filed under the name uncultured bacterium. Its description in RNAcentral is "partial 16S ribosomal RNA". It matches the Rfam family "Bacterial small subunit ribosomal RNA", at positions 568 to 796 of the family's 1533-position model. The record is from RNAcentral.